RNAcentral lists this ribosomal RNA (496 nucleotides) under uncultured bacterium. RNAcentral describes it as "partial 16S ribosomal RNA". It matches the Rfam family "Bacterial small subunit ribosomal RNA", at positions 28 to 507 of the family's 1533-position model. The record is from RNAcentral.
GAUGAACGCUGGCGGCGUGCCUAAUACAUGCAAGUCGAGCGAACAGACGAGGAGCUUGCUCCUCUGACGUUAGCGGCGGACGGGUGAGUAACACGUGGAUAACCUACCUAUAAGACUGGGAUAACUUCGGGAAACCGGAGCUAAUACCGGAUAAUAUAUUGAACCGCAUGGUUCAAUAGUGAAAGACGGUUUUGCUGUCACUUAUAGAUGGAUCCGCGCCGCAUUAGCUAGUUGGUAAGGUAACGGCUUACCAAGGCAACGAUGCGUAGCCGACCUGAGAGGGUGAUCGGCCACACUGGAACUGAGACACGGUACAGAGUCAGACGGGAGGCAGAAGUAGGGAAGCUUCCGCAAUGGGCGAAAGAUUGACGGAGGAACGGCGCGUGAGUGAUGAAGGGCUUCGGAUCGUAAAACUCUGUUAGUAGGGAAGAACAAAUGUGUAGUAACUAUGCACGGCUUGACGGUAACUAAUCAGAAAGCCACGGCUAACUACGUG